UUUUAGGUAAAUUUAAGUAGAUUUGCAGAAGAUUUUCAGGGGAAUUCAGGUAAUUCUCAGGACAUGAGAAAGUGAAUUUGGAAAACAACUGUAUUUUCGGAAAAAUUAUUAUAUGUCCUGAAAAUUUUUUGUACAUCUGGAAACAUUUUGGUAACCCCCCCCCCCCCCCCCCUCUAUCUAACCUCACACACACCCUGAGACGAAGUGCUAGCAACGGCACUGAG
This 224-nucleotide long non-coding RNA is filed under the name Paramuricea clavata. Lineage: Eukaryota; Metazoa; Cnidaria; Anthozoa; Malacalcyonacea; Plexauridae. The record is from RNAcentral.